GACGAACGCUGGCGGCGUGCUUAACACAUGCAAGUCGAGCGGGAAACUUCGGUUUCCAGCGGCGGACGGGUGAGUAACACGUGGGCAACCUGCCUCACAAUGAGGGAUAGCCUUCCGAAAGGAAGAUUAAUACCUCAUAAUACAAGAGAAACGCAUGUUUCUCUUGCCAAGGAAUUUCGUUGUGAGAUGGGCCGGCGGCGCAUUAGCUUUUUGGUGAGGUAACGGCUCACCAAGGCUUCGAUGCGUAGCCGACCUGAGAGGGUGAUCGGCCACAUUGGAACUGCGACACGGUCCAGACGCCUACGGGAGGCAGCAGUGGGGAAUAUUGCACAAUGGAGGAAGCUCUGAUGCAGCAACGCCGCGUGAGUGAUGAAGGUCUUCGGAUUGUAAGCUCUGUCUUCUGGGACGAUAAUGACGGUACCAGAGGAGGAAGCCACGGCUAACUACGUGCCAGCCGCCGCUGUAA
RNAcentral lists this ribosomal RNA (466 nucleotides) under uncultured bacterium. RNAcentral describes it as "partial 16S ribosomal RNA". It matches the Rfam family "Bacterial small subunit ribosomal RNA", at positions 28 to 523 of the family's 1533-position model. The record is from RNAcentral.